GGGCCCGUAGUCUAGUCUGGACUAGGACGCUGGCCUUCGGAGCCGGAGAUCCGGGGUUCGAAUCCCCGCGGGCCCGCCA
Molecule: transfer RNA, 79 nt
Filed under: Candidatus Bathyarchaeota archaeon
Lineage: Archaea; Thermoproteati; Candidatus Bathyarchaeota
Also listed under: 1 other name
Description: tRNA-Arg
Rfam family: tRNA
About the family: Transfer RNA (tRNA) molecules are approximately 80 nucleotides in length. Their secondary structure includes four short double-helical elements and three loops (D, anti-codon, and T loops).
Source: RNAcentral